Molecule: ribosomal RNA, 497 nt
Filed under: uncultured bacterium
Lineage: Bacteria
Description: partial 16S ribosomal RNA
Rfam family: Bacterial small subunit ribosomal RNA
Source: RNAcentral
GAUGAACGCUGGCGGCGUGCCUAAUACAUGCAAGUCGAGCGAACAGACGAGGAGCUUUCUCCUCUGACGUUAGCGGCGGACGGGUGAGUAACACGUGGAUAACCUACCUAUAAGACUGGGAUAACUUCGGGAAACCGGAGCUAAUACCGGAUAAUAUAUUGAACCGCAUGGUUCAAUAGUGAAAGACGGCUUUGCUGUCACUUAUAGAUGGAUCCGCGCCGCAUUAGCUAGUUGGUAAGGUAACGGCUUACCAAGGCGACGAUGCGUAGCCGACCUGAGAGGGUGAUCGGCCACACUGGAACUGAGACACGGUCCAGACUCCUACGGGAGGCAGCAGUGGGGAAUCUUGCGCAAUGGGCGAAAGCCUGACGGAGCAACGCCGCGUGAGGGAAGAAGGUCUUCGGAUUGUAAAACUCUUUUAUUUGGGAAGAAAAAAAGUGUAAGAAAACCUGCCCGUUUUGACGGUACCUAAAGAAAAAGCCACGGCUAACUUCGUG